AAGUCGUAACAAGGUUUCCGUAGGUGAACCUGCGGAAGGAUCAUUACUGAGAGAGGGGCUUCGCGCUCCCGGGGGCUUCGGCCCCUAACUCUUCACCCAUUGUCUACCUACCUUUGUUGCUUUGGCGGGUCCUGAGAACCUCUCGCGCCGGCCCGCCAGAGGUCUAUUAAAACCUAUUUGUCAGUGAUGUCCGAGCCAAAAACACAAUAAUCAAAACUUUCAACAACGGAUCUCUUGGUUCCA
Molecule: unclassified non-coding RNA, 243 nt
Filed under: Parmeliaceae sp.
Lineage: Eukaryota; Fungi; Ascomycota; Lecanoromycetes; Lecanorales; Parmeliaceae
Description: partial contains small subunit ribosomal RNA, internal transcribed spacer 1, and 5.8S ribosomal RNA
Rfam family: Eukaryotic small subunit ribosomal RNA (bases 1-46)
Source: RNAcentral